RNAcentral lists this long non-coding RNA (1351 nucleotides) under Felis catus (domestic cat). Its description in RNAcentral is "lncRNA (ENSFCAG00000047509.1)". The record is from RNAcentral. Lineage: Eukaryota; Metazoa; Chordata; Mammalia; Carnivora; Felidae.
CUGUCACAAGGUUUUCUAAGCUCUCCCCCUCCCCCAGUUGGGACGGGUUGUCUAAAGGGGGCUGGAGUUGGUUAUUUCUCUUCCUGGGUCAGUGAAACUCUGGGUAAUGAGGUAUCGCUUAGGGCAGGUCCUUUUAAGAAAACAGUGCUCUGGUGUGUUUCACACGAUUUUUCCCCCUCCCCUUUUCCUUUUUUUUCUCUGAUAUUUACUGUGGGAAUCUGGCCAAGGCCCUGGAGUCCGACCUCACGACACUUCAGGGACACACCUGUGAGUAGGUGUGUUGCCUGUACUGCCCAGUUCAGGUUUCCUCCCCCUUCAGCUCGUGGGUCUGCUCCUGCAAGCCGGGCUCUGUGUCAGCCUGUCUGCCUCUCAGCCUUGGGGACACAACUUUCCCUCUGCCCUUCGCUCUCUCGAGGAUCAAGAAUGGUGCAGAGGCCUUCUGGUUUGAGUUCUGCACGUAAGGGCCUAGGAGGACUUGCGUCCAGCCAUGGCAAAGCGGUGGAAGCAAAUGUGUCGUUUUCCUCUCAUGACCCUGUGGAACUUUGGGACGGGCAGGAGGAGCAUCGAGGGCCGUGUCCGGGAGGAAGCCCAGCACCUGGUGCGGGUCCUCACACAGACAGAGGGAGCACGUCAACUAUCAAGACGAGGAGUUCCUGAAUCGGACUGGGUUGUUGAAUGAAAACGUUUCCAUAGUAAGCUCUUUCUGGGCCCAGGUCCAGGUCUGAUGCCCCCUGUCUGGAAGACCCCAGGCCUCCAUGGUGUGUUUCCCCACCGCUGGGCUGACAUGUGGAGCGCGUACCUUUCCCUCAUUAACUGCCUGAUGGUUCAGUGUUUACUCAGCACUUGCUAGGCAAAGUGACCUGACUGAGACCAUCCCUCCUGCCCCCCCCAGGAGCCCAUGGACCAUCACAGAACUGCAGGUAAAGUGGCUGGUAUUCAGGGUGACGGUUGGAACCAUUGCUACUUUGGGAGCACAGGUCGCCUGUCUCUAAUCCCUGGACAGAGCCCACCAUGGGACAAAGAAUAAGGGCCUGGUGGCUAACGUGUGUGUGUGUGCGUGUGUUUAUGCACAAGUGGGCCCUGUUUUUACCUUUUCUUCAAGACUACGUCCAAAGCACAACAUCUUAAAAUAUAUUUUCCACUAUGCAAGAUGUUACAACUAUUAACCUCUUUGCCGAUUACAAAUUAGGCAUCAAGUGAAAAUCACUUAGGCAAAAAAAAAAAAAAAAAAAAAGGCAUAAAAUAACCAUUCAUAUACGCCAUAAACAUUCCACCUCCUAAGGACUUAUUAUCCUUUCUAACCCACAUCUGUGUGUGUCUAAUAGAGGACUUAUGAUGAAAUCAUGUAACU